GGAAGCUGGAGGACUUUCGAAAGCUGAGCCAGGCGUCAAUGAUUGAGGGGCGGGUCCAAUGAGGGGCUGGGCGGAGUCCCAAGGUACACUAGGAAGUUGGAAACUCCCUUGAGCAAGAAGGCGCAGAACUGGGAGGCCAGGCUGCUAAGGCCAGCCAAGGACUAAUGCUUAGCUGGAAAGGUGAAUCAAAGGCUUCUGGAAGGAUCAGAAGCCACCCUCUGCUCUCCGUGACAAAGAGACUCAGUCGCAGGGACAAGAAAUAAUCUCCGUUUGAGUCAACUCAACCCUAAUGAAGCAACUACUGUGUGCCAGAGACGGAGGGGAAAGUAAUAUGCUUUCAAAGGGUUUAGUCACCAGUGGUAAGAAUAGGGCACAGCGCUCGAAGCGCCCUGGGAAAACGUAUAUGGAGCCACAUCGUGGAGAGCUCCCUUUCAUCUAGGCCUCUUCUCUCAAGAUCAUUUCUUCUCCCUCUCCCCCUCCUGCUCCCACCCUCUUUGAUCAUCACAUACAGAGGGUAAACAACUUCGUUCAUGAAACAUACAAAAGCCCUCUUGGUUUUUUUUCCUUUAACCUCAUCCUUACUGUCACCCCUCCUCAGCCCCAUGGACAUUCAUGCUACUGUCCUUGAAUACGUAUUUUUGAGAACUGUAUACAUUUUUAUUAGUGUAUUUUUUAAAUAUUUAAUAAUGAUUUUGGACUUUAGGAUCAUCUUAUUUUCUUCCUUUUUCACUCAAUAUCUUUUUAUGGAUCUAUUCUUUCGAGUUGGUAUUGUAAUCCUAGUUCAUCGCUUCUGAUUGAUGCAUAGUAUUCCAUAUUGGACAUCCACACAUGUGACUUCCAUUCCCCAAAUGGAUUCCAAGGCUACCUCCACCUCUCCAAUACUACAAACAAUGCAGCAAUGAUCAUCCUUGUCCAUGGUCUCUUGUGGACCUAUGUGUAAUUCCUCAGCAACAUAUGCCUAAGAAUGAGAUUGGUAAAGUUAUAGUGGAUGCACAGGGCCAUCACAUUUGCUUAUGCAACUUGUCCUGUACAAAGACAUCCAGCCAUGGGCCAGUGGGAACUGGAAAACAGCUUUCCUGUGUUAUGUGCCCUGCUGAAAGAAGAUGUGCCCUUUUCUUCCCCCAAAAGCUCUGUUCCCUAGAUUUAUAAAUGGGGUCAAGAGUUGCAAGCCACUCAUUGCUGGGGCCUGCAACUGAGUAUGUGAAGCCCGGAAGAGGCAAAGAAAGCUACGCUGAACAGCGGGAAAAAUAAAAUAUAUGAUCAUGCGGGAGAACCCACAGGGCCAAGAGAAGGGAGAGCUGGGGGAUGGAGCCUCCUCGGUUGCUGAUGCCACUUCAGAGCCUGGGCCAGAUGCACAGUAGGUACUCAAUGAAAGUUGACGACUAGCUUCUAGCAGCAGAUAGGCAUCUACAAAAUGAAACUAUUUGUUAUGUUAGAGGAAUAAACUCUCCUUUCUACCCCA
Suricata suricatta (meerkat) is the source of this 1462-nucleotide long non-coding RNA. RefSeq lists it as uncharacterized. NCBI's taxonomy places the organism in Eukaryota, Metazoa, Chordata, Mammalia, Carnivora, Herpestidae. The transcript is spliced from 3 exons. The record is from RefSeq and is a predicted model, not a curated record.